RNAcentral lists this ribosomal RNA (450 nucleotides) under uncultured bacterium. Its description in RNAcentral is "bacterial SSU rRNA". It matches the Rfam family "Bacterial small subunit ribosomal RNA", at positions 354 to 796 of the family's 1533-position model. The record is from RNAcentral.
GUGGGGAAUUUUGGACAAUGGGCGCAAGCCUGAUCCAGCAAUGCCGCGUGCAGGAAGAAGGCCUUCGGGUUGUAAACUGCUUUUGUCAGGGAAGAAAUCUUCUGGGCUAAUACCCCGGGAGGAUGACGGUACCUGAAGAAUAAGCACCGGCUAACUACGUGCCAGCAGCCGCGGUAAUACGUAGGGUGCGAGCGUUAAUCGGAAUUACUGGGCGUAAAGCGUGCGCAGGCGGUGCUGUAAGACAGGCGUGAAAUCCACGGGCUCAACCGGGGAAUUGCGCUUGUGACUGCAGUGCUGGAGUACGGCAGAGGGGGAUGGAAUUCCGCGUGUAGCAGUGAAAUGCGUAGAUAUGCGGAGGAACACCGAUGGCGAAGGCAAUCCCCUGGGCCUGCACUGACGCUCAUGCACGAAAGCGUGGGGAGCAAACAGGAUUAGAAACCCCUGUAGUCC